UGGGAGAGGACUACAGAAGCACAUGAGCACCUGGGGGAGAGAAUCAGUGAGUGCUGCUUAGAGGUGCUAGAAACUCAGUGCUGAAACAGACACAGGUGCUCAGGAAAACAGGUAGCAGGUGAUGCAUUUGGGCAGAGUUCCAAAACCUCUUAACUUCACCUAUGCAGAAUUCCUAUGGACAUCUACACUUGAAGUUAGAGGAUUGCAGUUCAAUUUUCCAACAACAGCCUUAGUCCUUAGAUGUGGCUGCUACAAAGCGCUAUGGAGUCCUGGAUGAAGACCUGGUCCAGAUUCUGGUUCUGCACAUCAACUAGACAUGUCAACUCGGGAAAAUCAUUCCAUCCACCCAGUCUGAGACCCAUGACCUGCAAGAUGAGGAGGAUAA
Molecule: long non-coding RNA, 385 nt
Organism: Hyaena hyaena (striped hyena)
Lineage: Eukaryota; Metazoa; Chordata; Mammalia; Carnivora; Hyaenidae
Exons: 3
Source: RefSeq, a predicted model, not a curated record